GUUGCAUGUGAUGACACUGUUUAGUGACCAAAGUCUGAUAGAAAUGACUGCUAU
RNAcentral lists this small nucleolar RNA (54 nucleotides) under Peromyscus maniculatus bairdii (prairie deer mouse). The record is from RNAcentral. Lineage: Eukaryota; Metazoa; Chordata; Mammalia; Rodentia; Cricetidae. RNAcentral also lists the same sequence under 1 other name.